This 253-nucleotide ribosomal RNA is filed under the name uncultured bacterium. RNAcentral's name for it is "partial 16S ribosomal RNA". It matches the Rfam family "Bacterial small subunit ribosomal RNA", at positions 524 to 776 of the family's 1533-position model. The record is from RNAcentral.
UACGUAGGGGGCAAGCGUUAUCCGGAAUCAUUGGGCGUAAAGCGCGUGUAGGCGGUUCUGUAAGUCCGCUCUGAAAGCCCAGGGCUCAACCCUGGGAGGCGGGUGGAUACUACAGAACUGGAGUACGGAAGAGGAGAUUGGAAUUCCUGGUGUAGCGGUGAAAUGCGCAGAUAUCAGGAGGAACACCAACAGCGAAGGCAGAUCUCUGGGACGUUACUGACGCUGAGACGCGAAAGCGUGGGGAGCAAACAGG